RNAcentral lists this ribosomal RNA (253 nucleotides) under uncultured bacterium. RNAcentral describes it as "partial 16S ribosomal RNA". It matches the Rfam family "Bacterial small subunit ribosomal RNA", at positions 524 to 776 of the family's 1533-position model. The record is from RNAcentral.
UACAGAGGGGGCAAGCGUUGUUCGGAAUUAUUGGGCGUAAAGGGCGCGUAGGCGGCUAGAUGUGUCAAAGGUGAAAUCCCUCGGCUCAACUGAGGAACUGCCUUUGAAACUGUCUGGCUUGAGGCCGGGAGAGGGUAGCGGAAUUCCCAGUGUAGCGGUGAAAUGCGUAGAUAUUGGGAGGAACACCAGUGGCGAAGGCGGCUACCUGGACCGGUUCUGACGCUGAGGCGCGAAAGCGUGGGUAGCAAACAGG